AAAUCAUAUUCUUUAUUGAUGUUUGAACGCAUGUCCUGCAAUGUGCUUACCAGGAAAUUGAAGAGGUGGAUACGGAUGAACAUUAUCGACCUAAAUCUCCAAUAGGAAUCAUCAAUGUGACUCUGAAAGAGAAGGUUUGAAGGAGGUUUUAUCAGUUUAAAGCUUCUUUCAAUGGCAUGGUUUCCCCAUCUUAGAUGCCAACGUGCUGAUAAUCACCAAGCAAGCAAGAGGUUUAUGGAAAGUAUAAAUUUUUAGUCCAGGGUCGCAAGAUGGGUCAAUGUGAACCUCAUAAGUUGAAUUUCGGUUGUACGAAUGGGAUGGAAGACAAUACGUACGAGCGGGUGCCGCAAGGUCAAUCCUAUUAUUUUCCGUGUAUGGAUGGGACACAAGAGAGCGCAUUGCAAAUGGUGGACAAAAUUGGAAGCUCAUCUUUCAAUGAAUCAGGAAUGGCGAAUAGGUUUUGAACAGAUUCAGAAUAGGUUAUAUUUGAUUCUGAAUAGGUUUUGAACAGAUUCGAAACAGAUUAUAUUUGGUUUUGAACAGGUUUUGAACAGGUUUUGAAGAGGUUAAUUUUAGAUUUUGAACAGAUUCUGAACAGGUUUUGAACAGGUUCUGAAGAGGUUAAUUUCAGAUUUUGAACAGAUUCUGAACAGGUUCAGAAGCAGAAUCACAGGUUGAUUGUUUGAAGCAGAAUGACAAGUUCAGCAGAAUGAAGUUCAGAAUGAUGCAGUCCAGAAUAAAGCACUCCAGAAUUGAAGCUCAGAAUGAUGCAGUCCAGAAUUUAAGAAUGAUGCAGU
Camellia sinensis is the source of this 797-nucleotide non-coding RNA. The record is from RefSeq and is a predicted model, not a curated record. NCBI's taxonomy places the organism in Eukaryota, Viridiplantae, Streptophyta, Magnoliopsida, Ericales, Theaceae.